Molecule: long non-coding RNA, 304 nt
Organism: Oxyura jamaicensis (ruddy duck)
Lineage: Eukaryota; Metazoa; Chordata; Aves; Anseriformes; Anatidae
Exons: 3
Source: RefSeq, a predicted model, not a curated record
UCUUUUCUCAAGACAGAAAAGGUGAAGUCAAUGUCAGCAAUGUCACUGUAGAACUUCAGACCAUUUAUGAAAUCCAUUUGAAAAACCUGAGCAGACUCUCAGACCCUGUGAAAAGUCUGAAGUAUAUUUCCAGACAUCUCUCUAUCAUCACUUUACAGCAUUUGGAUCACUUGUAUUCAGAAGUUUGCUACAGGCAGUAUGAAAAUAUUGGGAAAAGCACAGUGUGCAAUGGUAUUAGAGCCAGGUGAACAAUGCAAUCCUGGUUGUCUGGAUCUCUAACUGUGACUGCAAAGCACAAAGUCUA